CAGUCGAGCGGUAGCACAGAGAGCUUGCUCUCGGGUGACGAGCGGCGGACGGGUGAGUAAUGUCUGGGAAACUGCCUGAUGGAGGGGGAUAACUACUGGAAACGGUAGCUAAUACCGCAUAAUGUCGCAAGACCAAAGUGGGGGACCUUCGGGCCUCAUGCCAUCAGAUGUGCCCAGAUGGGAUUAGCUAGUAGGUGGGGUAACGGCUCACCUAGGCGACGAUCCCUAGCUGGUCUGAGAGGAUGACCAGCCACACUGGAACUGAGACACGGUCCAGACUCCUACGGGAGGCAGCAGUGGGGAAUAUUGCACAAUGGGCGCAAGCCUGAUGCAGCCAUGCCGCGUGUGUGAAGAAGGCCUUCGGGUUGUAAAGCACUUUCAGCGGGGAGGAAGGCGAUAAGGUUAAUAACCUUGUCGAUUGACGUUACCCGCAGAAGAAGCACCGGCUAACUCCGUGCCAGCAGCCGCGGUAAUACGGAGGGUGCAAGCGUUAAUCGGAAUUACUGGGCGUAAAGCGCACGCAGGCGGUCUGUCAAGUCGGAUGUGAAAUCCCCGGGCUCAACCUGGGAACUGCAUUCGAAACUGGCAGGCUAGAGUCUUGUAGAGGGGGGUAGAAUUCCAGGUGUAGCGGUGAAAUGCGUAGAGAUCUGGAGGAAUACCGGUGGCGAAGGCGGCCCCCUGGACAAAGACUGACGCUCAGGUGCGAAAGCGUGGGGAGCAAACAGGAUUAGAUACCCUGGUAGUCCACGCCGUAAACGAUGUCGAUUUGGAGGUUGUGCCCUUGAGGCGUGGCUUCCGGAGCUAACGCGUUAAAUCGACCGCCUGGGGAGUACGGCCGCAAGGUUAAAACUCAAAUGAAUUGACGGGGGCCCGCACAAGCGGUGGAGCAUGUGGUUUAAUUCGAUGCAACGCGAAGAACCUUACCUGGUCUUGACAUCCACAGAACUUUCCAGAGAUGGAUUGGUGCCUUCGGGAACUGUGAGACAGGUGCUGCAUGGCUGUCGUCAGCUCGUGUUGUGAAAUGUUGGGUUAAGUCCCGCAACGAGCGCAACCCUUAUCCUUUGUUGCCAGCGGUUCGGCCGGGAACUCAAAGGAGACUGCCAGUGAUAAACUGGAGGAAGGUGGGGAUGACGUCAAGUCAUCAUGGCCCUUACGACCAGGGCUACACACGUGCUACAAUGGCAUAUACAAAGAGAAGCGACCUCGCGAGAGCAAGCGGACCUCAUAAAGUAUGUCGUAGUCCGGAUUGGAGUCUGCAACUCGACUCCAUGAAGUCGGAAUCGCUAGUAAUCGUAGAUCAGAAUGCUACGGUGAAUACGUUCCCGGGCCUUGUACACACCGCCCGUCACACCAUGGGAGUGGGUUGCAAAAGAAGUAGGUAGCUUAACCUUCGGGAGGGCGCUACCACUUGAUCUGC
RNAcentral lists this ribosomal RNA (1417 nucleotides) under Klebsiella pneumoniae. RNAcentral's name for it is "bacterial SSU rRNA". It matches the Rfam family "Bacterial small subunit ribosomal RNA". Lineage: Bacteria; Pseudomonadati; Pseudomonadota; Gammaproteobacteria; Enterobacterales; Enterobacteriaceae. The record is from RNAcentral.